GCUCAGGAUCAUCAGUGCAGUGUUAACUUCCCGGCCUCCCCUGCCUGUCCCCAGCAACACCCCUCUGGGACACUGUUACCAAGGUGGGUCCAACAAUGCCAACAUCUCCCAGCUUGUUUCCUUCCCCUCUAGAUCCAGAACAUCAUUGUCACAAACCAGGAAUUUGGUCUGAGCCAGGAUGAGCCCAGCAGACCCUAUUAGUACCUGGACUUUGACGGGAUUUUGGGCAUGGCUUACCCAGGUGUUGCGAUCAGUGGUUACAACACCCUGAUGUAGAACAUGCUGCAGCAGAACCAGCUUUCUGAACCCAUUCUAUUACUGCCGUAACCCAAGCUGUGAUUACGACGGGGAGGUCAUCCUCGGAGGCGCUGACACCCAGCUGUACCCAGGGGAGGUUUUAUGGGCACCGGUGGCCCAGGAAGUUUGCUGGAAGAUCGGCGUUGAGGAGUUCUCCUUAGGGCAGUCUGCCAUGGGCUGGUGCAGCCAGGGCUGUCACGGCAUCGUGGACACCGGCACCUUCCUGCUCACCGUCCCGGCACAGAACAUGUCGGCAUUCCUGCAGGAUCUGGGCGCCCAGGAGAGUAAC
Long non-coding RNA from Dromaius novaehollandiae (emu), 586 nucleotides. RefSeq lists it as uncharacterized. Lineage: Eukaryota; Metazoa; Chordata; Aves; Casuariiformes; Dromaiidae. The transcript is spliced from 3 exons. The record is from RefSeq and is a predicted model, not a curated record.